GGGCCCGCACAAGCGGUGGAGCAUGUGGUUUAAUUCGAUGAUACGCGAGGAACCUUACCAGGGCUUAAAUGUAAGUUGCAUUAGUUAGAGAUAGCUAUUUCUUCGGACCACUUACAAGGUGCUGCAUGGUUGUCGUCAGCUCGUGCCGUGAGGUGUCAGGUUAAGUCCUAUAACGAGCGCAACCCCUGUUGUUAGUUGCCAGCGAGUCAUGUCGGGAACUCUAACAAGACUGCCGGUGCAAACCGUGAGGAAGGUGGGGAUGACGUCAAAUCAUCACGGCCCUUACGUCCUGGCUACACACGUGCUACAAUGGUCGGUACAGAGAGCAGCCACUACGCGAGUAGGAGCGAA
RNAcentral lists this ribosomal RNA (351 nucleotides) under uncultured bacterium. Its description in RNAcentral is "bacterial SSU rRNA". It matches the Rfam family "Bacterial small subunit ribosomal RNA", at positions 917 to 1271 of the family's 1533-position model. The record is from RNAcentral.